Molecule: transfer RNA, 74 nt
Filed under: Escherichia coli
Lineage: Bacteria; Pseudomonadati; Pseudomonadota; Gammaproteobacteria; Enterobacterales; Enterobacteriaceae
Also listed under: 2 other names
Description: tRNA-Asn
Rfam family: tRNA
About the family: Transfer RNA (tRNA) molecules are approximately 80 nucleotides in length. Their secondary structure includes four short double-helical elements and three loops (D, anti-codon, and T loops).
Source: RNAcentral
UCCUCUGUAGUUCAGUCGGUAGAACGGCGGACUGUUAAUCCGUAUGUCACUGGUUCGAGUCCAGUCAGGAGCCA